This 525-nucleotide ribosomal RNA is filed under the name uncultured bacterium. RNAcentral's name for it is "bacterial SSU rRNA". It matches the Rfam family "Bacterial small subunit ribosomal RNA", at positions 32 to 505 of the family's 1533-position model. The record is from RNAcentral.
AACAAAACGCUGGCGGCGUGCCUAACACAUGCAAGUCGAGCGGAGAUAUAUGGAAGGUUUACCGGAAAUAUAUCUUAGCGGCGGACGGGUGAGUAACGCGUGGGCAACCUGCCUCAUACAGGGGGAUAACACAGGGAAACUUGUGCUAAUACCGCAUGAAAUCAUAGUAUGGCAUCAUACAAUGAUCAAAGGAGCAAUCCGGUAUGAGAUGGGCCCGCGUCCGAUUAGCUAGUUGGUGAGGUAACGGCUCACCAAGGCGACGAUCGGUAGCCAAACUGAGAGGUUGAUCGGCCACAUUGGGACUGAGACACGGCCCAGACUCCUACGGGAGGCAGCAGUGGGGAAUAUUGCGCAAUGGGCGAAAGCCUGACCCAGCAACGCCGCGUGGAGGAAGAAGGCCUUCGGUUGUAACGUACCUGUCCGACGGGACGGAACGUAGGUAGACGGGUACCGUUCGGGUAGGGAAGGACCCCGGGCCGUAACCUACCGUCGGCCACGCAGCCGCCGGGUAACGUCAUAACUCCG